GUCAGGCUGGGUUUCAGUUCACAGUUCAGAUUGCUGUGUCAUGGUGACAUGCAAACGUUUUAAAUUGCAUGUAAAUGUCUUUACUCUGGCAAGUGAUAGACAUUUGGACCUUGUGUUGCCAUCAAUGGGCUGAAAUGGGGUAUAACUGCAUCCACAGUCAGUCUGAUAUUCUUCCCAACACUUGGGGAUGGCUGUGUGCAGACACUGGGAGAGUAGAGGCCUGCUGGCUGCUUCAUCCAUGAUAUCACUGAUCCCAUCUGUGACUUCAGUUUGUUACAGCAACAACAGGCACUGACUGAGGGAAGAUUUGUCUAGAUGGAUCUGCAUCCUGAUGCUGAAUGAACAUCCCCUCGCAGUUCCAUCAAAAAAAUGAAUGAAAAGUAAAUGAAUAGGUAAGUGAUGGGACAAUUUUCCCUUCCCAGAACACUAGGAACAAUGAAUAUUACUUCUUUGCUAUUUGUGUUUAUUUUCCUCUUUCCUUAUCUUGUUUUGAUUACAGCAUGGAGAUGAGAAGAACACACCAAGUGCUUCCAAGAAUGCACAGGACAUGAACACUUUUAUUUGUGAACAGUUUGGUUUGGCAAAAUUGUGUUUUUGUUUGCAAACUCUGCAUCAAGUGAUGAACAUGACUACAACCAUCUUUUUUGCAUGAAGAGAAAAAUGGCCAUUUCCUCCAGAAUUGAGGAACAAAUUAAGUUCCUGAACUGAGGCAUCACUGUAUUACACAAAGUGGACUUGAAGAAUGUGAAUCAUCUGUUGCAACACUCCUGUAAUUUAAAUAAAAUUCUUGGUAUUUUCUUUUAAAUUGAUUUUUCUUUUUGUAGGCUGUUUUUUGAGUCUUCUGUUGUCACAUCAUUGAAUCUCCCCCUCCCCUCAAAGAAGC
This 883-nucleotide long non-coding RNA is filed under the name Heterocephalus glaber (naked mole-rat). Its description in RNAcentral is "lncRNA (ENSHGLG00100049428.1)". Lineage: Eukaryota; Metazoa; Chordata; Mammalia; Rodentia; Bathyergidae. The record is from RNAcentral.